GAUGGUAAAAAGAAAAUGCAUUGGCGUUCUUGGGAUUGGCCAUCGGCCCCUAAAUCCCUUGGAGGAAUGGGUUUCAAGGAUUUGACACUGUUCAAUUAGGCGAUGUUGGGAAAACAAGGCUGGGGACUGCUGACUGAUCCUGGGUCGCUAUGUGCGCAAGUUUUGAAAGGAAGGUAUUUCCUGUUCGGUGAUUUUUGGAAUGCCGUUUCUCCUUGCCCAGCCUCGGGAACUUGGCGUGCCAUUUUGCAUGGCCGAGACCUGUUGAAGAAGGGUGUCCAAUUGGGUAUUGGGGAUGGAAAAAGUAUCCAUAUUCUCAAGGAUAAUUGGAUUCCCUCUACCCCUCCAACCUUACUUCGGCCCUUAUCUCCUAUCCUAGAGUCUGCCAAGGUUCAUUGCUUGAUCAAUGAGGAUAUUGGGUGUUUGAAUGUGGAUAUUGUGAGAUCUUUCUUCAUAGAGGAGGUAGACAAUGAUAUUGUCCAAAUUCCAAUAAACUUGGCGGGCGGACCGGACUUUGUGCGCUGGCCUUUCACUAGAUUUGGUGAAUACACUGUCCGUUCUGCUUAUAACAUGGCUAGGACGAGCCAUUUCUUGUCUGACCGGAGUGGCAAUGGUGGGGGGCAGCACUCCAGUUGGUCUUUGGAGGAAAAGUUAUGGAAGAAGCUUUGGAAUAUCAAGGCUCCAAACAAGAUGAAAGUGAUGCUCUAG
This 705-nucleotide ribosomal RNA is filed under the name Triticum aestivum (bread wheat). RNAcentral's name for it is "partial small subunit ribosomal RNA". Lineage: Eukaryota; Viridiplantae; Streptophyta; Magnoliopsida; Poales; Poaceae. The record is from RNAcentral.